RNAcentral lists this ribosomal RNA (468 nucleotides) under uncultured bacterium. RNAcentral describes it as "partial 16S ribosomal RNA". It matches the Rfam family "Bacterial small subunit ribosomal RNA", at positions 28 to 507 of the family's 1533-position model. The record is from RNAcentral.
GACGAACGCUGGCGGCGUGCUUAACACAUGCAAGUCGAACGGAAAGGCCCUGCUUUUGUGGGGUGCUCGAGUGGCGAACGGGUGAGUAACACGUGAGUAACCUGCCCUUGACUUUGGGAUAACUUCACGAAACUGGGGCUAAUACCGGAUAGGAUCUACUGCUCCGUGGUGGGGGUUGGAAAGAUUCGGCGGUUGGGGAUGGACUCGCUGCUUAUCCGCUUGUUGGGCGGGUAGUGGCUGACCAAGGCUUUGACGGGUAGCCGGCCUGGGAGGGUGGACGGGCACAAUGGGACUGCGAGACGGACCAGACUCCUACGGGAGGCAGCAGGGGGGAAUAUUGCACAAUGGGCCGAAGCCUGAUGCAGCAGCGCCGCGUGCGGGAUGACGGCCUUCGGGGUGUAAACAGCUUUCGAAUGUGACGAAGCGUGAGUGACGGUAAUGGGUAAAGAAGCACCGGCUAACUACGUG